Molecule: long non-coding RNA, 369 nt
Filed under: Homo sapiens (human)
Lineage: Eukaryota; Metazoa; Chordata; Mammalia; Primates; Hominidae
Description: LHRI_LNC667.1
Source: RNAcentral
UGGGUCGCCCCGCGGGGCGGGUCUCCCAAUUUGCCCAGUUGGCCCUUGGGGCGCGGGCGGAGGGGGAACGUCGGCGUAGGGUCCCCCCGCGAUGCCCGGGGAAGGGCCGGGGCAAGUUGGAAGCGGCCAAAACAAUGCGUCCGGACGGGCAUCCCCCCGUAAACAAUGGCCGGGACGGUCCACUCGGGCCGGGCGGAGGGCGCCUCUAAGGGACCGCGGGAGGGGCUGGGCCUCGCCGCGGACCCCGACGCGCGCCCCGUGACUCCCUCGGGUGCCCAAAAAUCUGUCCCCGGGAGUCUUGGGGCGCCUGCUCAUCCCUGAACAGGGAUGCACGGGGCUGCGUUUCCUGGAUGUGUGCGAUAAGGUGGC